UGAAGCGCUGCGCUCACCUAAAAAUUACCCCCUGCCUUGCGCAACUGACGAAAUCAUUUGUCUAGCUGUCCACCCCGGCAGAAAUGGCUGAUUUUGUACGGAACACUGAAGCCAGGGAGACGGAGAAUCACCAUCUUGGCAUAAACAAACAAAAAAAGGACGAGCAAGACAAUGUUCUGCAGUAAAACAAAGGGUAGCUUUUCUUGAACCUUGGCAUUACAGAUCUGGAUUAUAGAAACCCUGGGAAAGGCACGGGUGAUGAACAGAGGACGACAAACGGGUUACAUCACCGAGGGCUUGCGUGUGUCAGCUGUUGUUUCGUCCCUGGGCUCGGGGCCUGCUGGGGCCUGCAGCUACCAUCUUAAGUUCCAACGGCCACUCAGUCGCCGUGCCUGGGAUUACGUGUUCGAGAAGGACAGAGCAAGGCUCCAUUCUGGCCCACUCCCUUCUGUCGGCGGAUCACAAGAACCGGUGCAUUUGUUUGGUCUGGUUGUCUGCUCCUGAAGAUCAUCUGGCUGGUCUGGUCGGCAAAGUCACAGUGAAUGCACCAUUUAGAGCAUUUAAAAAACAAAGUAGUUCAAAGGAUUGGAACAACAGGGUCAGAGUGUCUUAAAUGGAGGCGACGGCAAGAAAGAGAAGUCUCUUUGCUGACUCGACUGUCAUUCCCCAAGCUUACACUGUGCUUAAGCCGUUAAACAUUGAUCUGCCUCAAAGCUACUGGGUGUGGGGGGGCAUUGCAAACCUGCGCGUGGAUAUACACGUGCCCCAUUACAGCCAGCAGGUGCAGGCACGUAUUUCUCGACCAACAAUCUUCCGAAGCUGCGGUGGAGAGCCGUGUGCGGAUCCUGAACAACGGGAGCUGGCCUGAUGCAAACCGACAGACCACGUUGCAGGCCUUAAAUGUCACCACUGGUCCUCACAUGAAAGAAGCAAUGCAGCCCCAAGGUUGAAUUUUUGCCACACAAAUGAGUAGAGGGGGAAGCAGCGAAGGACAAAAUAAACAGCAGAAGGAACCAACAAAUGAGAUAAUAGAAAGAGUGAGGAGAACAGGGUGAUGUGAGCUGUACAGUCACUCUUAAAAUAAACAGAUAAAAAGACAAAGGCAGGAAUAAUGAGUCAUUCCUUUGGGAGACCAGAUUUUUUUUUCCUCCGGAAAAUACUACGACAGCGCUGGAAUACUGCUUAUGCCGAGAGCUACAAUAUUUAUCACUUAUUCUACAAAAUGAAAUAAACAAAUGAGGGGUGUACGCACAUGCUUAAGACAGAAAGAUAAAAAAUAAAGAUGAGGAGAGAUAAACUGGCUACAGAUGUGUGGCUGGAGUACACACAAUGUAGUGUUUAAUACAUGGUGAUCAGGGAGGAGGAGGAGAGAUCUGCAGAACUAUGGUCUGCUUCAUUGAAAGUGUCAGAGAUUCAAUAAAAAUAAGGUUGCAGAAAGAUCUCCCUUCACAACAGCCGAAACUCGUGUCAGAAAAAUACUCUCUAGGAACGCAGAGCAGGGGAGAUGGAAGAGGAGGGGUGAGAAGAAUUAGAGGGGACAGAGAGAGACAAGUCCGUCUCCGAGCAGACCAUUCUUCACCUUAAGGUGUCGACAACAGCUGGCACUUUGGCACCUUGCUCAUGCCCACACCUGUCCCACCUGCUGUGUCUACACACACCAUCCAUCCACAGCUGUCCUUAACAUUAUCUAUAGCAACACUGUCAUUUAAUAUAAUAAGUUUUUCCUUUUUCCAAUUUUAGACAAAUACAGUACACAACACAAAAUACACAACACAGAGACCGGCGCAGCUGUAAUCCUACACAGGACUAUAAAGCAACACCUUGUAAAUCUUUUAUGACUCACAUUCUGUUGUUGGAAAUAUAUUUGCUGAACUUAUUUAUUGAACGUAUUUAUCAGGAGUAUAACCAAACUACAGCAAAAAGUUUGUCAGUGCACGAAAUCAGACUCAUGGUUGAGGUCAAGGGAAAACGUGUGAUUAGACAUUUUCCUAAACGUACCUCAGAAAUUAGGUCAGACCGUGAUCUACAAACAGUCUUGCAAUAGACUGACCGAAACAAGCUAUAAUAGCCACAUUCCUAUACUGUGAUGGAUUCUAUAUUAGUGUACUGGGCCUGUAUAACCGUAAGCUGGCGUGCAUACUUCUGUGUUGUCUGGUAGGAGUGACCUAGUGUGUACGUCUGGCCCAUUAGAGCACAAAAAGCCAUUGUAUCAUUAGCUAAAGGGAGAAAGGGUGGCGAGUGGAGCUGAGGGGAGGGGUUGUCGACCUUCUUCAUCCCCGACCAGAUGACCUCAUUCACAGCACAUAGGAAUCCUCUGUCUCCCCCCACUGUUCUUUAUCACACUCUCCAUCCGCCCAUUGCUCUUGGUGGCCUCUGCUCGCCUGUUUCCUUUCUGUGAACACAAUCAAUCAACUGAGCACGGACGAGGCUCGUUCUCACCAACCCUUUCAUGCAGACGGCACAUUCUUUCCUGCCGUUUAUCGGAGAGUUUUUAUGCGAGUCAUUCAUAUGUUAUACACUGCGCUAAAGGGGCUCAUUGUUUCACAAAUUAAAGCCUAAUCAUACCAAA
Betta splendens (Siamese fighting fish) is the source of this 2569-nucleotide long non-coding RNA. RefSeq lists it as uncharacterized. The transcript is spliced from 3 exons. NCBI's taxonomy places the organism in Eukaryota, Metazoa, Chordata, Actinopteri, Anabantiformes, Osphronemidae. The record is from RefSeq and is a predicted model, not a curated record.